Molecule: RNA transcript, 3216 nt
Organism: Misgurnus anguillicaudatus (oriental weatherfish)
Lineage: Eukaryota; Metazoa; Chordata; Actinopteri; Cypriniformes; Cobitidae
Gene: ptpn2b
Gene name: protein tyrosine phosphatase non-receptor type 2b
Source: RefSeq, a predicted model, not a curated record
GCAUGCGCAAAGCGCUUAGAUUCUCGUCGCAAAUGUCAGCGACGCGGACAAACAUUGACAGAUUCUUUCGGCGGUUCAGAGCGUAAAGAUAGGAAAUGAGUGAUUUCUCUAACUAUAAUUUAUAUUCUGAAUAAUAGAGGAGCUUAAAGCAAAGGGAUUAACGCAGACAUGGAUCAGGAGUUUGAGGAUAUGGAUUCAGAGAGCCGCUGGCAAAAUCUUUAUUUAGAGAUACGCAACCAGUCGCACGAGUGUGCUUUCAAAGUAGCCAAGUAUCCAGAGAAUCGCAACCGCAACAGAUACAGAGACGUCAGCCCAUUUGACCACAGUCGGGUGAAAUUAGAAAACACAGAGAAUGACUACAUCAAUGCCAGCCUGGUGGUAAUGGAAGAGGCUCAAAGAAGGUACAUUCUUACCCAGGGUCCUUUGAGGAACACAUGUGGUCAUUUUUGGCUGAUGAUCUGGGAACAGAAGACCAAAGCAGUUAUCAUGCUCAACAGAGUAAUAGAGAAAGGCUCGGAAAAGUGUGCACAAUACUGGCCAACACAAGAUGAGCGCGAGAUGUCGUUUCGUGACACCCGCUUUGUGGUAACACUAGUGUCAGAGGACGUCAAAUCAUAUUACACCAUCAGAUUGCUGGAGCUGCAGAAUGGAAAUACAGGGGAGACGAGGGAGAUCUACCACUUUCAUUAUACCACAUGGCCAGACUUUGGCGUCCCAGAUUCCCCUGCCAGUUUCCUGAACUUCCUGUUUAAGGUGCGAGAGUCUGGAUCGCUCGGGAUGGACCAAGGUCCGGCAGUGGUCCACUGCAGUGCAGGAAUCGGGCGGUCUGGAACGUUCUCUCUGGUCGACACCUGUCUUGUCUUAAUGGACAGGAGGAAAGACCCAUUGGCGGUAGACAUCAAAAAGAUUCUGCUGGAUAUGCGGAAGUACCGGAUGGGUCUGAUUCAGACUCCCGACCAGCUGCGUUUCUCCUACAUGGCUGUGCUGGAAGGAGCCAAAUACAUUAUGGGAGACUCCUCUGUUCAGAAACAGUGGCAAGAGCUGUCCAGAGAGGACCAGGAGCCUCUGUCCGAGUCCCCUCCGCCACCGCAGCCUCCUAAGUGCACGGAGCGCUUUAACGGCAACAAGCUGUCUCGUCUGGAGGAUGGUAUGGACACAAAAACGGCAAAGAAAACGGGUCUGGAGACCCCCAACAAAGAGCCAGACAAAGAUGCUGGAACACAUGGUCGUAAGAGGCCGAGGGAUGAGAAGAUGCCCAAUUCUACACAGAAGAGUCAGAAACAGACAAAACCCAGGAUCAACGACCCCGAUAAGAAAAGGAAAAGUCUGGGCUGUAUUUGCUGUACGUGACACAGCGAGUGCUGCCUGUUGGGACGUCUUCCCAAUAAGGCAGCUGUGGUGAAUCUCCAGGAUUUUUGUAAAGUUUUCCCCGGCUCCUCCGAAUCCUCAGGCUAGCGAAAACAACCAGUGACUCUCAACUUCAUGGCAACCUCAGCUAGAGACCUCCAUCCCAUAAUGCCCUCCAUCCACCUAUGUUUUUAUAACCGUUUACAGCAUGAACUUGAGGAGAAAAGAUCUCCACUCUGCACAACAGCACACACCAGCACUAUUACAGUGGAUGAAACUCAAUAUCAAGGAGUGCUUCACCAUGGUUUGAACUGGUUUUUAUUUGAUCUGACCUGUUUUGUGUAAUGUUUUUUUUUUAUUAUUAUUCUUUGCUUUUUGUGUUUGGUAGGAAAAAAGCAGCAGGUUCUGAGUAGGCCUAUGCAUUUCUAAUGCUGUUUAUACAUUGUAUUUUUAGACAACUUUUUCAGAGACAAAACGAAAUGCUCUAUUUUUUAUAAGAAAGUACUUGAAAUUUCCUAUCAUAUCUGCAGGGCUGUAUGCUCCUCCAGUUUGUGAGAUUGUUAGACGUCUUACGCUCGAGUGCUCACAUUGUGUACAUAGUGUACCUUAUGAGAUGUAAAAAAAAUUGUACAAAAUCAUGAAAAGACAUUUGAAUAGACACAACAAACAAACCAGCAGUGUCUGAUAAAAAGUAGGAUCCAUAAAUAAAAUUGGUAUCAUUUAGUUUCUUUAACAAUGAGUUGCUUUGUCCACUUAUUCAGAAGAGCUUAAAAAUUCAAAUAGUCUUAUGAUUAAGUAGGGUCCUACUUUACUAUCACUUUCCAUUAUCUCUUCUUACUGUUAGAUCUUUAUUUUUUUCUUGCAGAUUUCUCAAAGAAAUGUCUGUCCAGGUCAAACCCAAUAGUUUAUUAAAGAUAUUUACAUAGAAGGUAUGUGGCUUUAAUAAGUGCAAAAAUUAUGCAGAAAUGGUUUUACAUAUCCAUUUACAUCCCUAGGAUUUUUCCUUAUAAUGAAAUGGUUUAUUAUUACCUUAUUUGGAAGGGUUAUGAAUAAUAAUGUUGAGCUUUGCUCUGAUUGGCUGUUUCACAGUGAGGUAUUUGUCAGUAGCUCACAUUAGUAAACCUUAUAUGUUUGAGCUUGUAUAAAACGAAGAGGUAACACUUUACUUGAAGGGGUGUUUAUAAGACUGACAUGACGCGUGUCAUGAACAUGAAGGAGAUUUUAUGCACGUUUAUGACAACUGUCAUUCACUCAAUUAUGUCAUCUUUUAAUGCAAAUAUGACAUUGUUUGAGAUGUCUUUAUGAUGACAACUUGACAUUACCAAGACAACGUAAGGCAUCAUAAUUUAAGCGCUGAAAAUGCUCCGUUCUUACACCUAGACCUUGGAACAUUAAGAAGCAUCUGAUUGGACGACCUCAAUGAUCUAGCCUAAGACUACGUUUACACGUGGGUGGCUAUUUUGAUACAUUUCAAUCUCUCUGGUAUUAAAAAUAACUUGUGCACACAUGUCAGUUUUCAAAAAAGUGUUUAAUGACACGUACCUGUGUAUAUAUGCAGUCAAGACCACGCCAAACCUCUAGGUGGCGGUGUAACGAGAAGCUCAAGGCCACGUAAGCCAAUCAGAAUCCCGAAAACGGCAACGAAUCACUUCCUGUUCCUCUUUUGAACAAGGUCGCACUUUUGGCAUAGGUGCGAGCUCUGGCGCAUACUGUGAUGUUGAAAUUUUUCCGACAUUAUAUUAACGUUUUUGCAGCGAGGUGACCAAAAACGCUGCAUGGCUUAACCCACGAUUGUACUGUUUUCAUUUAAUUUUACGUGAAUCUGUCUACAAAUGCAAUAAAAUAUAAUUUUAUCAAUUUUAAAUAUUA